AUACGGAGGGUGCAAGCGUUAUUCAUAUUUAUUUGGCGUAAAGAGCGUGUAGGCUGCUAGUAUAGUCUAGUUUUAAAUAAUAUAGCUUAACUAUAUUGGUAACUAGAUACUAAUUAGCUUGAGUCUUAUCGAAGAUAAUAGAAUUUUUAAUUUAUAGGUGAAAUUAGUCUGAAAUUAAAAGGAAUGCCUAAGGCGAAAGCAAUUAUCAAGUUAUAGACUGACGCUGAGACGCGAAAGCAUAGGUAGCAAAUAGGAUUAGAAACCCUAGUAGUCC
This 274-nucleotide ribosomal RNA is filed under the name uncultured bacterium. RNAcentral's name for it is "partial 16S ribosomal RNA". It matches the Rfam family "Bacterial small subunit ribosomal RNA", at positions 523 to 796 of the family's 1533-position model. The record is from RNAcentral.